This 451-nucleotide ribosomal RNA is filed under the name uncultured bacterium. Its description in RNAcentral is "partial 16S ribosomal RNA". It matches the Rfam family "Bacterial small subunit ribosomal RNA", at positions 354 to 796 of the family's 1533-position model. The record is from RNAcentral.
GUGGGGAAUAUUGGACAAUGGGCGAAAGCCUGAUCCAGCCAUGCCGCGUGUGUGAAGAAGGCCUUUUGGUUGUAAAGCACUUUAAGCGAGGAGGAGGCUACUUAGAUUAAUACUCUUGGAUAGUGGACGUUACUCGCAGAAUAAGCACCGGCUAACUCUGUGCCAGCAGCCGCGGUAAUACAGAGGGUGCAAGCGUUAAUCGGAUUUACUGGGCGUAAAGCGCGCGUAGGUGGCCAAUUAAGUCAAAUGUGAAAUCCCCGAGCUUAACUUGGGAAUUGCAUUCGAUACUGGUUGGCUAGAGUAUGGGAGAGGAUGGUAGAAUUCCAGGUGUAGCGGUGAAAUGCGUAGAGAUCUGGAGGAAUACCGAUGGCGAAGGCAGCCAUCUGGCCUAAUACUGACACUGAGGUGCGAAAGCAUGGGGAGCAAACAGGAUUAGAUACCCUAGUAGUCC